This is a long non-coding RNA of Ostrea edulis (European flat oyster), 3476 nucleotides long. RefSeq lists it as uncharacterized. The transcript has 3 exons. Lineage: Eukaryota; Metazoa; Mollusca; Bivalvia; Ostreida; Ostreidae. The record is from RefSeq and is a predicted model, not a curated record.
CCUUUGUCGAUCAUGUUUUAUAUCAAGAAUACAGUUAAAUAUACGAUUUUUACUGACAAACGAUCAAUAUGUAUGUUUUGAUAAAUUCCGCUCUGAAAUAUUUUUAGCGACUUUAGAUUGUAGAAUUUUUAGCCUCCUCUCCUCCAUCAAAUCCUGAUUCCUCAUCGUCGCCCGUCCGUCCUGUAAGAAUAUCGGAACCCUCAUCGUUACAUGAUGACUACAUCAGUCGAUUAGAAAAUCUACAACAGCGUCUCAGUGGAAUGGAUUCUGGUACACCAAAGUCAAGGUCGUAUCCACGGAGAGAGAACAUUAAACAUAAUCACCUCAUCAUUUACGUGAUGUCACUGUCACCUUGACCUCCAAGAGCAGCAUUUACAAAAUCCUUUAUUUUACGGCAAUCAAUGAAAAAUCAAAGAAAACAUUUUUGUUUCACGCAAACUUUUGUGACAAUUCUUGAAACUUUGAAAAUCAUGACAUGUGUAAAGACAGCAGUAACUGAAUCAAGUGUGAGGAAUGUUGAUAUGGGAACAAAUCAUUCUAUCACAUUAAUUUUACUCUCAGAAAUCUGUGUUAUUCACCAAAGUCCUCAUGUUUGAGAAGAAUGUUUUUACUUUAUUUGAUUUACCAUUUGCCCCGUAUUUUUUUCAACGUAUUCCAUUAACGGUGACCGUUAUGCAAACAAUAGAGCAAUAUUUUAUGAUAUUAGAAAUAAUAUUACUAAAUGUAUGUUUCACACAUAUGUAAAAAGUUGUGUUGCAAUAGUGGUGAACAUAUUGUGUGUGUGUGUUUUGUUCUGAGGUUUAUCGUUGAUUUUACUAUGAUACACUAGUCUGCUAAUGCUGUGAUGAUUAAAACAGUCUACGGAAGACUCGUCCACUUGUCAAUCUAUUGAAGAAAAGGUUGCAUCUUUUUAUACUCUGUUUCAGAAUAUCUAAGUGACAAAAUCAUCUUUGAUUUUAAUGACACAAAGGGAAAUAACUCUGAAUAAAAAGGACACUGUAUAAGUAUCAGGGGAAGUGAGAAUAUCUUAUUAUAAAGUGAUUUGUAGGAAAAUCUGCUCCUUGUAAAUAUUUUCCUUCAUUUCUAUUCAAUCUUUUUAAAUAUUUUAAGGAUUUUGGUAUUUUUAAAACAAAAAUACUAAUAGUUGGUGUUUACAAUAGUUAUUGUUUAAUUAGUUUUGUGAGUUGAAUAUCAUUGUUUUGAUCAGUAUCAUGUUCUAAACUGUUUAAGGAAAGCUCUCAUUUGAUGUGUGCGGUACUCGUACAAUAGCAAUGUGCUACUGUCAAAUCCAGAUGUUUGUUUAAAGGGAAACUUUGAUUCAUAUUUCCAGAAAUAUUUCAAGAAGUGAACAUCAAUCAGUGAAAAGAGAAGCACACACUGCAAUGGAAAUAAAAUUGAUUUAUUUUAAACCAUAUAUACAUGUAUAUUAACAUUCUGUGUCAUUUGAAUUAGUCACUUGAUAUUUUGAAUGAAUUUCAUUAGUGUCAUGUAUAAUGUAUAUAAUUUGGAAUAUAUGUUUGAAUUGGCCAUUAAACAAUCAAAAUACUUUAAACUUUAUCAUGCUUUCUUUGUUUUGUGAAUGUAAUGGGAAGCAAAAUGUAGCGUAAAUCCUGGUCCAUGCACCAAAGAAGUAACAGGAAGCGUUUGUGUAUGCCGAGAUUGAAAUAAGUCUAGCUUCUCCCAAAGUACAAAUUAUAUUGCGUUUUAAAAAGAACUCGCUACAGGUAGUACUUGGGAUCAGAAGACUUAUCAUACUACAGAAAUUAUGGAACACAGUGUUUCCUUGUUGUAUCCAGGUUCAGUUGUUAUUCCUAGAUUGUGUUCAAAACCUUGUUUGAAAUGAAAGACCUGUAAAGUUUAUAAAUUUAUUUUAGCAUAAGUAAGUAUGGUUUAAGAGUAGUUGAUAUCAAAUAAACUUCGUGAAAAUGAAUGAAUAUAAUCUCGGAGGAAUGUAAAAUUUAACCCCACCCCCAAACUAGAGUAGUACAAACAGUACAACAUAAACCCGUCGGCCAAUGAGCCUUCGACUAAAUAUGGCAAUAUCUGUAUCCGUAAUUAAAAAAGCCUGGAAAACUGCCAGACCUAUUUUUAGUCCAAAAGUAGGUUAAGGAUGGGCCAAUCCACCUGAAAUGCAAACUCAACUGGUAUUCCUCUGAGAGGAAGCCUUUGACUAAAUAUCAGGGCAAAAUAUGUAUCCCUAAUGAACAAAAAAAACAGCCCGGAAAAGUGUUUGACCUAAAAAAAAAAAAAGACAAAAAAAUCAAGGAUAGACCAAUCCUGCUGAAAUGCAAACUGAACUUGUACUCCCCCUAGAGGAAGCCUCUUGCUAAAUUUCAGGGCAAUAUCUGUAUCCAUAAUAAAAACAAAAUGUGUUUGUUAAAAACAAAUGCCCCCGAUAAUGGCCAAUUCCGAAGAUGGCCAAGGUAGCAGAAGAAGGAUUUUGUCACAGGAAAUGCUCAUGUACAAUAUGAAAGCUCUAAUAUUUAUCAUUUAGAAGUUAUGACUAAUGACAUCUUUUUAAAAAGUAGGUCAAAUGUCAAGGUCAAAAGGUUUAGUACAAACGGAAAGGUCUUGUCACAAGGAAUACUCAGGAGAAAUAUCAAAGCUCUAUCACAUACUGUUAAAACGUUAUUAGCAAGGUUAAAGUUUCUGACAGAAUUACAGACAGAACAAAAACAAUAUGCCCCCCCCUAUCUUCGAUCUUGUUGGCAUAAAAAAAGUCCGGAAAACUGUAUGACCUAUUUUUAGUUGAAAAGUAGGUCAAGGAUGGACCAAUCCAGUUGAAAUGCAAACUGAACUUCUAUUCCUCUGAGAGGAAACCUAUGACUAAAUAUCAGGGCAAUAUUUGAAAAUGUAAUGGAAAAAGCCCGUAAACUGUUCGAUCUAUUUUCAGUUUAAAAGUAGUUCACGGAUAAAUCAAUCCAGUUGAAAUGCAAACUGAACUUGUAUUCAUCCAAGAGGAAGCUCCCGACUAAAUUUCUGUAUCCAUAAUGGAAAAAAGCCUGGAAAACUAUUUGACCUACUAUCAGUCCUAAUGUGCGUCGCAGACGGACAGACCAAUACAGCAGAAAUGCAAACUGAACUUGGAUUUCUCUGAAGGAAGCUCUUGUGUAAAUUUCAGGACAAUGUAUCUGUAUCCGUAACCAAAAAAGUGCGGUAAACUGUUUGACCUACUUAUAGACCUAAAGUAGGUCAUCGAUGGAGCUAUCCAGCUGAAAUGCAACCUCACUCUUACAAUUCUUGAGGGAUAUAUUGUGACCAAAUUUCAAAUUGCAUGCAUCUGUUACGGAAAAAAGUCCGGAAAACAUGAUCCCGGACGGACGGACAGCGCCAAAACAUAAUACGUCCUCUGAACCAAAGUAAACUUCGACUCUGUCUAGAACAAUCCAACUCUAAGGACCGUUUCCCAACUCUACGUUAGUUUUACUCACUGUAUGCUGAAAAACCCUACUCUACCUGAACAAAUUAAUUCUUGU